AUGCAGUUCAGGAGGGUGCGCUGCAACUUCCCGGGCAUGAAGGUCACCUUCCACGUCCAGCGCGGCUCCAACCCUAACUACCUCGCGGUGCUCGUGGAGUACGCCAACGUGGACGGGACCGUGGUGCGGAUGGAGCUCAUGCAGACCAGGAACGGCCGCCCCACGGGGUCCUGGGAGCCGAUGCGCCGCUCCUGGGGAUCCAUCUGGCGGAUGGACACCAGCCGCCCGCUGCAGGGGCCCUUCUCCAUGCGCAUCACCAGCGACUCCGGGAAGACGCUGGUGGCCAACAAUGUCAUCCCGGCCUAUUGGCGGCCGGACAAAGCCUACUGGUCCAACGUCCAAUUCUAUUGA
This 351-nucleotide ribosomal RNA is filed under the name Triticum aestivum (bread wheat). Its description in RNAcentral is "partial small subunit ribosomal RNA". The record is from RNAcentral. Lineage: Eukaryota; Viridiplantae; Streptophyta; Magnoliopsida; Poales; Poaceae.